GCGAACACGUGAGUGCAAGCGAAUCCCAAAAAUAACGUCUCAGUUCGGAUUGUAGUCUGCAACUCGACUACAUGAAGCUGGAAUCGCUAGUAAUCGCGGAUCAGAAUGCCGCGGUGAAUACGUUCCCGGGUCUUGUACACACCGCCCGUCACACCAUGGGAGUCAGUAACGCCCGAAGCCGGUGACCUAACCGAAAGGGAGGAGCCGUCGAAGGUGGGACCGAUAACUGGGGUGAAGUCGUAACAAGGUACC
RNAcentral lists this ribosomal RNA (252 nucleotides) under uncultured bacterium. RNAcentral's name for it is "partial 16S ribosomal RNA". It matches the Rfam family "Bacterial small subunit ribosomal RNA", at positions 1249 to 1500 of the family's 1533-position model. The record is from RNAcentral.